GUGUACAGUCAUAGCACCCUGAAUGCAUGAAUUUUGUCUGAUCUUUGAAGCUAAGCAGGGUUGGGACAGGUUAGUUCUUUGGGAUUCUAAGAUGCUUUAUUUGCAGUAGGCA
This 112-nucleotide ribosomal RNA is filed under the name Sorex araneus (European shrew). The record is from RNAcentral. Lineage: Eukaryota; Metazoa; Chordata; Mammalia; Eulipotyphla; Soricidae.